Paramuricea clavata is the source of this 73-nucleotide non-coding RNA. The record is from the annotation of a GenBank genome assembly. Lineage: Eukaryota; Metazoa; Cnidaria; Anthozoa; Malacalcyonacea; Plexauridae.
GACCGCGUAGCUCAGUUGGAAGAGCAUUGGGCUAGUACUCCAAAGGUCGUAGGUUCGAAUCCCGCCGUGGCCA